GCCAAGUGAGGAGGAGACAUACACUCUGCAACUCGAACGCUAGUUUCUAGGGUUUGUGCCUCGGUGGAGGGGUCUUUCAGGCCAGGUUGUGGAGGAGGGUGUAUGACCUCCUCCACGUAGGGUUUCUGCUCUAUUUGAAGGUAAUGGCGACGUGGGACGAGAUCAUUGUGACCAAGAGUGUCACAACUUUGUGACCUUCCUUGCUUACUCAUUGUAUACUGAUGGAAUAGACAUUGAAACCCUGAGGUAUAUAUUGCUAUAAAGCCUUCUUGUCUAUUAGGCAAUAAAUUGGUCAAAAUCAAAUAGUGAAUAAAAUAGUUAUUAGUGAAAAUUAAAAAAUUAUGCAUCCAUGUCUAUAAUAUUAUAGUUAUGUAUUCAAGUUUGUCAAAUAAUUUCAUUUGAUAAAAGGUUAA
Molecule: long non-coding RNA, 413 nt
Organism: Cryptomeria japonica (Japanese cedar)
Lineage: Eukaryota; Viridiplantae; Streptophyta; Pinopsida; Cupressales; Cupressaceae
Exons: 3
Source: RefSeq, a predicted model, not a curated record